This 321-nucleotide ribosomal RNA is filed under the name uncultured eukaryote. Its description in RNAcentral is "partial 18S ribosomal RNA". It matches the Rfam family "Eukaryotic small subunit ribosomal RNA", at positions 1470 to 1796 of the family's 1831-position model. The record is from RNAcentral.
CCCUUAGAUGUUCUGGGCUGCACGCGCGCUACACUGAUGCGCUCAACGAGUUUUAACCUUGCCUGGAAAGGUUGGGUAAUCUUUUUAAAACGCAUCGUGAUGGGGAUAGAUUAUUGCAAUUAUUAAUCUUCAACGAGGAAUUCCUAGUAAGCGCGAGUCAUCAGCUCGUGCUGAUUACGUCCCUGCCCUUUGUACACACCGCCCGUCGCUCCUACCGAUUGAGUGGUCCGGUGAAAUCUCGGGACGGCGGCUUGGUCGCUUGCGUCCGACUGCUGAAACUUGAUUAAACCAUAUCAUUUAGAGGAAGGUGAAGUCGUAACA